UACGUAGGGGGCAAGCGUUGUCCGGAAUCAUUGGGCGUAAAGAGCGUGUAGGCGGUCCGGUAAGUCGGCUGUGAAAGCCCGAGGCUCAACCUCGGAACUGCCUUCGAUACUGCGGGUCUCGAGUCCGGGAGAGGUGAGUGGAAUUCCUAGUGUAGAGGUGAAAUUCGUAGAUAUUAGGAAGAACACCAGUGGCGAAGGCGGCUCACUGGCCCGGUACUGACGCUGAGGCGCGAAAGCGUGGGGAGCAAACAGG
This 253-nucleotide ribosomal RNA is filed under the name uncultured bacterium. Its description in RNAcentral is "partial 16S ribosomal RNA". It matches the Rfam family "Bacterial small subunit ribosomal RNA", at positions 524 to 776 of the family's 1533-position model. The record is from RNAcentral.